AAAGAAAAAUUACCCAGGGAUGUGCUUCAAGCGUUGAGUAAUGGCUCUGUGGAUCCAGCAGUGAACAAAACAGAAAAAUCAAAGCCAUUUCAGUUGGUUGGCCCUCAGAGCUCCCCGUUAGCUAAAGUGCGUAGCCCAUGGCUGGUCCCUAGCGGGCACCGAGCAGCAUGAACGUCAAGCGGGGACUCCAGUGAGAUGCAGGCCUCCGAGACUGUGGUGCACACACUGAGCCAGCGCUGUGGGAUAGCGGGUGAGGCUGCUCCCUGUACUCCGACCUCCCAGAUGGGCGCAGGUUCGAGUCCCGGCUGCUCCACUUGCGAACCAGCAGCAGAAGAUGGCCUAAGUGCUUGGGCCCCUGCACCCACAUGGGAGACCUGGAAGAAGCUCCUGGCUCCCGGUUUGGCUUAGCCCAUCCUGGACUGCUGCAGUCAUUUGGGGGGGGGUGGGGUUUGAACCAGCAGGUGGAAGACCUCUAUCUGUCUUCUGUAACUCUUCCUUUCAAACGAUUACAAUAAAUCUUUAAAAAGUGCAAUACUCCUCCCUGGCGUGGAGGGAGGUGUCCUACUCACCUGAGUUAAGUUGGGAAUCCCAGACCCAAUCUCACCUGUGGGAUACGUGUAGGGCUCCCAACCUUGUCCAUGCUUUGGAACCACCUGGGAGCCUUCAAAAACCGCAGCUCUCCUGGGCCUUCAUUCUCCGACUGAUUAAAUCUUGGACAGGGGGCCAGGAACUGAGAGUGUCUUUUAUCCUCAAGUGAUGCUCAUGUACACAGCCCUGUAUAAGAGUGAAUCAAGUGAUUCGUGAUUGCCUUAAUUCACGAGGAGCCUUACGAUGGACCUAACUUCAACUGAUUGACGGGCCCUCUAGUGGGCGGUGGAGUGUGAGUGGGUUCUCCCCUGCUGUCUCCAGCCCAGUCAGGCCCAGGGCCACCUUGGGAGUGACUGAUGCAGUGCUGUCCCCUCCACACGGCACAGCAAUAGAGAGGGGGUUGUGAAAUGAAGCUGUGAUGACAGAGCAGAUCAGCGAUCAGGAGGAGGUGGGGGAGAUCUCAGAGGAGCAGAAGCUUGAGCAGGGGAUGGAUGUGUUCAUUGUUUUGAUUGUGAUGGUGGUGUUGGGGCUCAUAACACAGCCCCCUGGAAUACUGAUUAAAUUAAAGGUCCUUGGAGAGCAGCAGAUGCUUGAAGAGGCUUUACUUCGGCCAGCGCUGCGGCUCAAUGGGCUAAUCCUCCGCCCACGGCGCCAGCACACCGGGUUCUAGUCCCGAUUGGGGCGCCGGAUUCUGUCCUGGUUGCCCCUCUUCCAGGCCAGCUCUCUGCUGUGGCCAGGGAGUGCAGUGGAGGAUGGCCCAAGUGCUUGGGCCCUGCACCCCAUGGGAGACCAGGAUAAGUACCUGGCUCCUGCCAUCGGAUCAGCGUGGUGUGCCGGCCACAGCGGCCACUGGGGGAAGAACCAACAGAAAAGGAAGACCUUUCUCUGUUUCUAUCUCUCUCUCACUGUCCACUCCGCCUGUCAAAAAAAUUUUUUUAAAAAUGAAGAGGCUUUGCUCUGAUUUUCUCUUAUCUGCCUGAUUGGACUGCCACAGAGGAGAAUAGUUGUCCUGGGGCCAGCAUUGUGGCGCUGGGGGUGAAGCCUCUGCCUCCAGUGCCUGCUUCCCACAUGAGCACCAGUUCAAGUCUUGGCUGCUCUGCUUUGGCUCCAGCUCCCUGCUGUUGUGCCUGGGAAGACAGCAGAAGAUGGCCAAGUAACUGAGCUCCUGCUACCCACAUCGCAGACCCAAAUGGAUAUCCAGGCUCCUGGCUUCAGCCUGGCUCAGCCCUGGCUGUUGCAGCCAUUUGGGGGGUGGAUAUAAAUUCCCUCUGUCUCUGCCGCUCUCUGUCUGUAAUUCUGCUUUUCAGAUACAUACAUAAAUCUUAUGAAAAGGGGAAGGAAUGAAAUGCGUCCCAUUUCACAGUGAGCCUGUGUUUAACACCUGGCUCGGCCUCCUGGUGCCUAUGAAUGCACACCUGGAGACAACAAGCGAUGGGCCAGAUAGCGGGGUUCUGGUCACCCACUUUGGAGAACUGCACUGAGAUCCUGGCUCCCAGCUUUGGCCUGGCCCAGUUCCAGCCUCAUUCGUGUGAGCCAGAAGAUGGGCACGCUUGCUCACUCACUCUCAAGUAAUUAAAAAAAUAUAUACUUGGGGUGGGGAGUGCUGGCAUGGUGGUGCAGUGGGGUAAGCCUCUGCCUGUGAUGACAGCAUCCCGUAUGAGAGCUCCUAUUUGAGUCCCAGCUGCUCCACCUCGAAUCCAGCUCCCUGCUAAUGUAUGCCUGGGAAGGCAGCAGAAGGUGGCCCAAGUACUUGGGCCUUUGCCACCCACGUAUGAGGCCCAGGUGGAGUUCUGGGCUUCUGGCUUCAGUCUGGACCAGUCCCAACUGUUUCAGCCAUUUUGGAAGUGAACUAGCAAAUGGAGGAUAUUCUCUCUUUCUCUUUCUCUUUCUCUUUCUCUUUCUCUUUCUCUUUCUCUUUCUCUUUCUCUUUCUCUUUCUCUUUCUCUCUUUCUCUCUUUCUCUCUCUCUCUCUCUCUUUCUCUCUUUCUCUUUCCUCCUCCCACUGCCCAUCACUCUACACUGACUUUUGAAUGGGCACAAGCCCUUUAAUGACCAAAUGCAUUUCCAUGAGGGACCUGGCUGUGUGAUCCUGGCAUCCUUGGUUCCUGCCCUCUCACCCACUUUUCUUGGGCUCUUCCCUUGCAUGGUACUCCCCUUGGCUCCAGAUCACACAUACAAGGGUCUCUGGGCCAACAAGCUCCCAGAACACUGUCACCUCAGCCUAAGAGUGGCAAUGGUCUCUCCACAAGUUUGCCUUUUGCACAGUGAUUGUCUACUAGACCCCACAGCACGUAGGGGACAAAUGUUACAGACUCAUAUGUCCUCAUUAGUAUUCCAAAAUGUGUGGAUAGCAUAAAUACAAACAAAACAAUUUUUAAAAAUCAACAAAUGCCUCAACUAUAAAGAAGAAUAAUUUAUUUUCAAUAUGUAAAUUCUGUAACUCAAUUACAUAAUCAAAUAAUUGAGUAAUUAUACCAAUUUCUUUUUUUAAAAAAGAUUUAUUUAUUUAUUUGAAAGUCAGUGUUACACAGAGAGAAGGAGAGGCACAGAGAGAGAGAGAUAGAGAGGUCUUCCAUCCACUGGUUCACUCCCCAGUUGGCUGCAGUGGCUAGAGCUGCGCGCGUCUGAAGCCAGGAGCCAGAAGCUUCCUCCAGGUCUCCCACACAAGUGCAGGGGCCCAAGGACUUGGGCCAUCUUUCAGUUUUCCCAGGCCAUAGCAGAGAGCUGGAUUGGAAGUGGAGCAGCUGGGACUCAAACCAGCGCCCACAUGGGAUGCUUGCGCUUUAGGUGGCGGCUUUACCCACUAUGCCACAGCACCAGCCCCUAAUUAUACCGAUUUCUAAUAAAAUGCUCUUUUAAAGAUUUCUGACACUUUAAAAUAAUUAUAGCUCUCUAUAGACAAGUGAGAUCACUAUGAAUACAACUGAUACUAAUGUAGACAUACCCUGUAUGUUGCCUUGGCAACUGAGAUAUCAGAUAGAAUAACUUGAUUUUCUAAAAUGGUGAACAACUUGGUAAAAUUCCAAAGUAUGACUUUCCCUCAACGUAAAAGAAAGCUGCUUUCCUAGAAAAUUUAAUGUUUCUAGAAAAAUUCAGCUAAAAUGUAACAAACAUUUAAGGCUUGAUAUAAGCAGGUUUUUUAGCUACAUGGAAGCACCUGCAGGACAUCAACAUCCCUGACCCCCCACCCAUGAAUGCUGGCCUCCCUCCUCUCAGUCACUGCAGAAACCAAAAAGUCCUUACUUACUUCCCAGUUGCCCCCUCCACUCUGACCCUGCCCUCUUUGGAGACUAACCUUGACAAACAGAUACAUUCAAAAUAAGGUUCACUAAUCCUAAGGCCAUUGAAGAAAAAUAUUUCUUAAAAACAAAUAAGAAAAAUGUGGGGCUUUCCAAACCAUAGGGUCACUGUCUUCUGGGCACAACAUUCCACAGAAUGAACAGUCUCCCCUUCCGUGAGUCCCUUUCUGCUUGAUGGGUUCCUGAAGCUUUAUGUCUUGGGAGCUUGGGCACUAGUGUGGUGAUGAAGGUGGGGAAAUGUUAAGGGGGAGGGGCUUCUGGGAGGUCCUGGUCCACUGGGGGCACUGCCCUUAGAAAGAGCCAAGAUGCCUCUCACGGGGCUGUGCUAGUUGUUAGAAAAGCCUGAGCCUGACUCGGAACCACUCGCUGGCUUCCUGUCCUGGGAUGUGCCCCUCCCUCCUGCCAUCUCCAAACUGAUGCUAAUGCGGCGCCAUGCCCUUCAGAACUAUUAGCUACAUAAACAUCUUUUCUUUAUAAAGUUAGCUUGCUUCAGCUUAUUCAUUAUAGUAGUGAGGAAUACACUGUCACGCACAGAGAGACAGCUCUGUGCAGAGUCAGUUGCUACUUCAAUGAUCAUGGUGUCUCAUGAGAAUUGAUAGAUACAACAGGCCACAUCGGUGGUUUGGUUGCUUGCUUGCUUAUUGGUUUGCCAUUAUCCUCAACUACAAAAUGGGCUACCAGAUAGGUCCACGGAGAUCUACUUUCUGAAUAGCAACUCUUAUCUUUCCCUCUAAGCCUCCUGUCUUCACUGUUUCUCAUACCGCUCAAGCAAAGGAGAGAGUGAGUGUUCAUGUUUCGUGACCCUAUACCCACGGUCUUUCCUCAAACUUGUAUGUCAUACUUUCUAAAUUAAGUCAAGUUUGGCCUGGCACUGCCCCUACACAUAUUUGAAGCUUGACCUAAAAUUACUCCAUACAUAGUGAACUGCAAACUCACUCAUUGCAUAAAUAGACUGCAGCCUACUCUUAGAACAAGUAGUUGAGUCUCAGCCAGUCACAGCAGCUGAGCUUCAGUCAGCCAGCGACAGCCGACUAUUCAAACUAGAUUCAAAUAAGGCAAGCGCUAAACUUGAACUAAUCUAUCUGUCUUUGGACUCAUUUCCAUUUCCUGUAUGUGAUUUGCUUUUUCUGUCUGUAAAUGUUACCCAGUCCCGUGGCAGAACCUAUAAAACCUAGGGCUACCUCAUUCACAAAUUACUCCUGCUCCAUAAACUCUGUUGAAUGUAACAUGUCUGAUGUUUGUCAUUUACUAAUCACACCCCAGCCCUUGGCCACUUCGGACCUUCAUUGGUACAGGUAAACACAGCCACAGAAACACACAUGAUGAAUCUGAUUAGCCUUUAAAUUUAUAACCACCAUAUGCUUGUGAUUAUAAAUUUAAAGUAUGUCAUUGCAAAAAUAAAAGAAAAAAAGGGAGGAGGAGGGAGAGUAGGGUGGGAAGUAUCAUUAUGUUCUUAAAAUCAUAUAUAUAAAAUACAUGAAAGUUCUUUUAUAUAAAUAUAAAAAUUGGCAAAGAAUAAAAUAAAUUUAUAACUACAUACCUCCAGCAGGCUGCUCACACAUUUCCCUAGACUUCAUUCUCAUUCUGCCCUAGAAAACUUAUUUUAUUUUAUUUUUUUUAAAAUGUAUUUGAGAGGUAGAAUUACAGACAGAGGGACAGAGAGAAAGAUCUUCCAUCCACUGGUUCAUUCCCUAAAUGGCCAGAACAGCCAGAGCUGCGCCGAUCUGAAGCCAGGAGCCAGGAGCUUCUUCCUGGUCUCCCAUGUGGGUGCAGGGGCCCAAACACUUGGGUCAUCUUCCACUGCUUUCCCAGGCCAUAGCAGAGAGCUGGGUCGGAAGUGGAACAGCUGGGACAUGAAAUGGUGCCCAUAUGGGAUGCCGGCACUGCAGGCUGAGGCUUAGCCCACUGUGCCAUAGCACCCGCCCCUGGGGCUCUUCGGUUCGGGGAGGCAAAAGAAGGGAAUGAGUUUAAAAGCAUCAGUGUGCUGGAGAAGGUUCCAUUUCCUCUUUCCUGUCUGUUACACAUUCCCUGGCAGAUGGAGGGACAGCAGAACUAGCCGUACAGGAAGCCUAAUUUUCUCUCGGAUUCUCCAAAGCCUCGAGUUGGCAGUGACCUGUCAAUCAGCCUCAGAGGGAGGCAGAGAAGGCCUUGUAGGAAGCCUGUGGGAGUGGAAGGCUGUGGGGCAGGUGAGCACACCUUUACCUGUGUCUUGCAGGGACCUGGUUAGGGUCUCACCUGGACAAAUUUGCAUAUGAAAAGCAUCUCUGUGCCUCCUCUCCUAUCGGGUAGUUCCUGGGUAACAAGUUGCCUCUGCUUAUUGAAGGAGUCUGGCUCAGCCACGUCUACUCGCAUCUGCAGGCCGUGGUCCCCUUGAGUCCAGAAGGAGCCAGGGUCCUAGAGGAUCAGAGGCUCACAAAUAGGCCUGUAUUUUCCCAUGGCCACACCCAUGGCUACCUGAAGAGCAGAAACUGCUCAGAGAGUGGAUGUGGAGUUGCCUGUCUAUAAAGCUGGGAAGCUUCAGUGCCCAGGUGCUCUGCAAACCAGGAAGAGUAGGGUGACCCUACCCAGUCCCCUACAGCUGGCCGUGCAGUGACCAGGAGCUCCGCGCACUGCGAUCCUGCAAGAUUCCCAGUCGGAACCCAACUCUCCAACACCCCUCUGGCACUCAUUCCCAAGAAAGUGGUGACAGCCACCCAUGGUCCUGUCGUAGGAGGUCUGAUUUGGGGUGAUUGAGUUCAGUGUUCAGUGUAACACAGCCCCUGUCGCAGUCUUGCGUUUGUGUUACAAUAUCAGCGUGCAUCAUUAGAUUUGAUAAGAGUUCUCAAUUGCUAGUGUUGUUAGAUUUGAAUCUAAGGCAUUUCCUUUGAGACACACCUGAUGAAAUGACAGGAAUAUACUCCGUAUAUUGUGCGUUAUGUAUUAUUAUGUGUGUUGCAGUCUUCUUGUAUAUUUUGCACUCUUUUCAGAGCAAAGAGAAUACGGUUGUGCACUCAAAGCCAAGAACAUAUGCACAGUUCAACGUAAGACGUCACGAUUAUCCAUGCUGGGUAUUCACGCUGGGGUAGUGCUGGCACUUGGCCGUGUGCCCCCUCUAGAGGAGGCUGCUAAUAAGAAGUCGUCCAUGAAAAGGCCCCCCAGACUCAGCCUGCAGACUCCCCAGGAGCUGACAGUGUCCUGUUUGCUCGCGAGGUUGGGGCUGCUGUCUUGGACCCCUGACUGAUCUGGGGGGGGCGUAGCCAUUUUUCAAUUUUGUGUGUCACCUGGCUCUUGAAGCUUUCUCAGAUAUGUUCUAAAUAUAUGAUUGUGAUAGCAAGGGUUUUUAAUUUAUUGUGUCUUAGUCCAUUUUCUGUUGCUGUAACAAAAAAACUGAAAAUGUGUAAAGAAUAGAAGUUUAUGUGCGGGGCCGGUGCCGUGGCUCACUUGGUUAAUCCUCCGCCUGCAGCCCCAGUAUCCUGUAUGGGCACUGGUUCUAGUCCCAGUCGCUCCUCUUCCAGGCCAGCUCUCUGCUGUGGCCUGGGAAGGCAGUGGAGGAUGGCCCAAGUGCUUGGGCCCCUGCACCCGCAUGGGAGACCAGGAGGAGGCACCUGGCUCCUGGCUUCGGAUCAGCACAGCACCGGCCAUAGCGGCCAUUUGGGGUGUGAACCAAUGGAAGGAAGACCUUUCUCUCUGUCUCUCUCUCUCACACUGUCUAUAACUCUACCUGUCAAAUAAAAAAAAAAAAGUUUAUGUGGCCUAUGCGUCUGUGAACUGGGAAGUCCAAGAGUGUGGCAUUGGCAUCUGGCGAGGGCCUUCUCGCUGCUGGACAUGGCAAAGGGCGUCCCAUGGCAAGAAAGAGCAGCUGUGCCAGCUCGGUCUCCUUCUUCGUGUAAGGCCAUUAAUGGCAUCGUGGGGGUCCCUACCCUCACAACAUCCAAUGCCAAUUAUCUGCAUGGGCUGCAUCCCCACAUUCUAUUAAAACAUGAACUUAGAGACUCUGUGUCCAGCACAUGAGCUUUUAGGAAACACAUUCAGAUCACAGCAGUGGGGUUCCUUUCACUGUCUGACAGUUGAGGACAAAAGAUCGGGGUGGGGGUGGGAGCAAUCUAUCAAGACUGCCAGAAACACAGGGCAGGGCUAUUCCUACCAUCAAUUCUGGCUCUGAAGUUCCCUGUGGAAUCCGUCGCUGGUUCGCAUUUAUAUGACGACCGAGACAGUAAUUGUCUGGGCCACUUGAGAAUCUAGAGUCCACUUUGUGAUAAUGAACACCGGCUCCUUUGUGAUGUGAAAUGAUUCUACUCCCACAAGCCUCACAAGGGCUCGAUGUUCCAUUAUGGAGCCAGGAGACAUGAGCACAGAGGUUUUUGUUGUAGCUUAAAAUAUCCAGAUGAGUCAGGCAGCAGGGUGGGAAGGAAGGUAGGGAAUCAGAAAUUGUUACUGUAGGUCAGCCUCUGACUGUGGUUUGGAUCUUACUGUGUUCAGCUGCGCUCCCUCGUGAACCAACUCCCCAGACUCCCAAGGAUCCCAUUCCCCCAGCAAGAGGGAGCACUGUGGGUUCUGGCUGCUCCCUGGGCAUGGUGACCUUCAGGUAGAGAGGAGUGCACAGGGGCUUUGCCUGUCGACUGGGGAUUGGCUCUGGAAGCCCAAGCAAAGAUCGGAGGUGAAAGAAAAGUCUCCAUGUCCUAAAGAGGCAACUUGUUGACGCCUGCCCUGGGCUUUCUAAGAUAUGACUUCAGCGUUCCCAUUCUGAUGAGUUAGAUGCCGGCUGUCACAGCAGGGUGGGCCCCAGGCAAUAUCAGAAGGGGACAUCAGGAGACAAGACACACACAGAGAGAAGGCCCGGGCCCAGGCCCAGCCCCGGGAGCAAGGCUUUGGACGGAGCCAACCCUGCUGACACCCAGCGUGCCCUUACACAUUUGAUACAAGCUUUCUACAGCAUGGAGAUACAGAAAAUGGAUUCUGCCACUACCUUGAAUAGUUCUACUCCAAGGAUCGGGGGAGACGUGAACUGCCACUUGGUUGCUGAGCUCACAGGGACAGAUCUGCCACAAGGCAGAACCACAGGGGGAUGUGCACCGUCCCUAGCUCGAAUUCCAUGGACUCCUGUUGUCCAGAGGUUUUUGUUUGGCUGUUUGUUUUACUGAAAUAAUGCUUCUCAAUUUGUUAUAAACCCUUGGAUCAAGCUCAAAAAAUUUUGAAUGACUGUUACUGCUAAUUUUGAUCAGCUUCCUUGAAGUCUUUCUCAGGGAGUGGCUUCGCUGACCACCUCCCAUUACCACUCCGGAGUGCUGUCUGGGGAAAUUUGUUGUGCAGGAAUAGAUAAUUAACACAAAGGCCGAGGAAGGGAGUGGGACUAAAAUCAAGACGGGCCAUCAGUUGGCUGGAGAGCAGGGAAGGCAUUUUGUUUUUAAGAGAGAGGGAGAUAUAGAGAGAGAA
Non-coding RNA from Oryctolagus cuniculus (rabbit), 9299 nucleotides. Lineage: Eukaryota; Metazoa; Chordata; Mammalia; Lagomorpha; Leporidae. The record is from RefSeq and is a predicted model, not a curated record.